This 119-nucleotide ribosomal RNA is filed under the name Pteropus alecto (black flying fox). The record is from RNAcentral. Lineage: Eukaryota; Metazoa; Chordata; Mammalia; Chiroptera; Pteropodidae.
GCCUAUGGCCAUGCUACCCUGAACAAGCCUGAUCCCGUCUGAUCUGGGAAGUUAAGCAGGGUCAGGCCUGGUUAGUACUUGGAUGGGAGACCACCUAGGAAGACCAGGUGCUGUAGGCA